Bubalus bubalis (water buffalo) is the source of this 1234-nucleotide long non-coding RNA. RefSeq lists it as uncharacterized. The record is from RefSeq and is a predicted model, not a curated record. The transcript is spliced from 3 exons. Lineage: Eukaryota; Metazoa; Chordata; Mammalia; Artiodactyla; Bovidae.
CGGCGUCCCUGCUGCCCCUACAGCGCGGGCCCCGGGCGCUGUUUCCUCUGCCCACUCCGUGCUGGCCCGGGUCCCAGAGCGGCUCGGAGCAGAGAUCACAGUGCAGGGCGAGGCGGCCCCUCUCCACCCUCCAGUUUAAUCCCCCUGCAGCCUUUAUAGGAAACAUUUAGAACAAACUGGCAUGCCACUAGCUGCCCGCAGUCCUCAGGUAAGCUCUAGUUUGGCUUGAGAAGUAUACUUAAAUGAUUUGGAUUCGUUGUCAACUUUAAAUGGUUAGGAAACUUCACCUAAAAAGCCAGAUUGGAAAAAAAAAAAAAGGAUAUGACUACCCGGAGCCUACAUUCCCUAAGGAUAAGAACCGGCUCAAGCUGAGUAGUUUUCCAAUGAGCCCCCCAUGGUUCCCUGAAGGCCCUUUGGUUUGCAACGUCCCUGCCUGGCUUACAAGUCUUCAGGAGCUUGCAGCCUAGGUUUGGGGUGUUUUGAGUUGUGUCCCUGCAUGCGUGUUGGGAGCAGUCAGUAACCGGUUUACAGUGGGGGCUCCCAGGCCGGGCUUCUGGGAUCUGAGCGCAUGCGGGGGGCAGGCUCAGACAGUCUGACAGGCGUCGAGGUACAGGGGUCUCUCCUGGGAAGCUGGAAGCCUGGGUGGCACCCGAAGGUGGUUGUGUAGCUGUUCAGCAUCACCGAUCCAGAUAAAAGGGUGAGCAGUGUUCUUUCCAACUCAACUUUUGGCGAGUGUAGUGGGGCGGCGAGUUCAAGAUCAUGAACUUGGCAAAUGCUCUUCUGAGUUGCUGGGGUUAGUCCUGAGUCAGGUGCUGUCGGCCACAGUGGUGCUCGCCAGGUGUGAGGGGCCUGGCUUAAAGAGGAGCACUUCCCCAGGAUAGCUCUGGUGCUGGCUGGAGAGACGCUGAGGCGAGGAAGACGCCAGGGACAGAGGAGAGGGCGAAGACAAGUCUGUGGAUCGUUCAGCCAUGAAGCAUGUGGGAUCUUCGCCCCCUGAUCAGGGAGUGAACCCACACCCGCUGCAUUGGAAGCAGAAGCCUUAAGCACUGGAUCACCAGGGCAGUGCCUUCCCUGACUGUCGAUGUUAACUGCACCUACAAAAUCCCUUAACAGCCGCACCUAGACUCAAGUUUGAUCACCUAACUGUGUGCCAGAAUUAACACCCCUGGAAGGGUCAUCCCAGGAGACACGGGUUCAAUCCCUGAUCCAGGAAGAUCCCAUAUGCUGCGGAGCA